Molecule: long non-coding RNA, 150 nt
Filed under: Neogale vison (American mink)
Lineage: Eukaryota; Metazoa; Chordata; Mammalia; Carnivora; Mustelidae
Description: Neovison vison (American mink) lncRNA (ENSNVIG00000001997.1)
Source: RNAcentral
UUGGAUCUGAGGAAAGAUUGUCUCAAGCCUCAGGAGAAGCAUGUGUCAUACAGUUAUCACUGGGACUUUUCACUGGUGACCAUUUCUCUCCUGUCUGGCACAUGAAGACUGAACCCCUUGUGUUGGAUGAGCCUGUAUAAUAGAUCUGGU